This is a long non-coding RNA of Gallus gallus (chicken), 693 nucleotides long. The record is from Ensembl. Lineage: Eukaryota; Metazoa; Chordata; Aves; Galliformes; Phasianidae.
CUCUGACUGCAAGUGGACUUAGAGAACAAAAAUAACUUAAACCAGUUGCAAAAUACUGCUCUAUGAUCUUCUGAGUUCUGUGUGAGAAGAAUACUCCAGAAGACAUAAGUCACGAAGCCCCAGAGCUCAGCCACUGCAUGAGGAAAGCUUUCGGAGUAUGGUGAGAAGUAGCCUUGUCUGUUAGUAUGGCUGCGCAACAUGCCUCCUCUGGGGUACCUGAUACCACCAACCAGAAGGAUGAAGAGGUCCCUGUUGUUUAAAAAGAAAAAGAGCAAUAACAACAACAAAAAGCAACUAGUGGGGACUGCAGGCUAUGAGGAAUUCCUCAUCAAUCUAGACUUGUAUGGGCUCCUUACUCAUCUGCCAUGUGAGAUCAGGAACUGGGGGCUGAGUGUGGCAGCCUUUGCAGAGUGCCUUGGCUGCCAAUGUCUUUCACAUGCUGGAAAGGAGAAGAAAGAUGUGCUGAUUUCUAACACAAGCAAGCCGAAGUCCUUCUGGCACGUACAGUUAUGGAGAGAAAUGGCAACACUCAAAUUGCCUGCUGGAAAUCUCUGUCCAUGAUUCAUAUGUUUCUUGGGAUGCUUCUGGCCUAUGGGGGGGGGAGGAGAGGGGGGGAGGGAAAGCCCUUAUUGCUCGCCUCUGUUAUUAAGACUAAUUUCAGUUGCCUGGGAGGACAAGAACCGUAGAGAACAG